Long non-coding RNA from Alosa sapidissima (American shad), 501 nucleotides. RefSeq lists it as uncharacterized. The transcript is spliced from 3 exons. Lineage: Eukaryota; Metazoa; Chordata; Actinopteri; Clupeiformes; Clupeidae. The record is from RefSeq and is a predicted model, not a curated record.
UAAUAAUCUAAUUAAUUCAUAAAUAACUAAUACUUUCGAAUUGGGUUAUAAUGAUAUGGAAACGUGAAAUUAAAGGAAAUAAUUUGUAAACUCUAUAGUAGGCUAGGCUAUGUUUUCAUUAAAAAAAUAGGCUACCCACAUGCACGUGAUUUCCUUUGGGCAGCCAGAUUAUCUGGUGUUAGUUUCGUGGAAGUGUAGGCUAGGUAUAAGGCUACGCAAACAUGGAAAACGGGGACACUGUCCAAAAGGCCUAAUUAAAGCGAUUGAAGAGGAGAAGCGAGAGAAACCGAGGAGGUGAAGCGCAGGUAUGAUGAGGCAUAUAGGCCUAGGCUUCACGUUAUUUGGGAGACAGACUGCCCAAAGCCACAGUGUGUGGUUUACUGUGGGAUGCUAUCUAACCAGUCUAAUGUUCUCCACACUGUGAGAGCUCAUAGACCAGUUCAUGUUUAUCAUACAUUUAUCAUGUAGGGCGGCUAAUUAAACAUGAUGCCUGGAAUGUGU